RNAcentral lists this small nuclear RNA (81 nucleotides) under Symbiodinium microadriaticum. The record is from RNAcentral. Lineage: Eukaryota; Dinophyceae; Suessiales; Symbiodiniaceae.
AAGAACGAUGCAGAGAAGAUGAGCAUGGCCCCUGGGCAAGGAUGACACACGCACACACAUCGAGAAGAAUACCAAGUCCAA